AGUGAACGCUGGCGGUAGGCCUAACACAUGCAAGUCGAACGGCAGCACAGUAAGAGCUUGCUCUUACGGGUGGCGAGUGGCGGACGGGUGAGGAAUACAUCGGAAUCUACUUUUUCGUGGGGGAUAACGUAGGGAAACUUACGCUAAUACCGCAUACGACCUACGGGUGAAAGGAGGGGAUCUUCGGACCUUGCGCGAUUGAAUGAGCCGAUGUCGGAUUAGCUAGUUGGCGGGGUAAAGGCCCACCAAGGCGACGAUCCGUAGCUGGUCUGAGAGGAUGAUCGGCCACACUGGAACUGAGACACGGUCCAGACUCCUACGGGAGGCAGCAGUGGGGAAUGUUGGACAAUGGGCGCAAGCCUGGUCCAGCCAUACCGCGUGUGUGAAGAAGGCCUUCGGGUUGUAAAGCCCUUUUGUUGGGAAAGAAAAGCAGCAGGUUAAUACCCCGCUGUUCUGACGGUACCCAAAGAAUAAGCACCGGCUAACUUCGUG
This 492-nucleotide ribosomal RNA is filed under the name uncultured bacterium. RNAcentral's name for it is "partial 16S ribosomal RNA". It matches the Rfam family "Bacterial small subunit ribosomal RNA", at positions 29 to 507 of the family's 1533-position model. The record is from RNAcentral.